RNAcentral lists this ribosomal RNA (423 nucleotides) under uncultured prokaryote. RNAcentral's name for it is "bacterial SSU rRNA". It matches the Rfam family "Bacterial small subunit ribosomal RNA", at positions 355 to 774 of the family's 1533-position model. The record is from RNAcentral.
UGAGGAAUAUUGGUCAAUGGGCGAAAGCCUGAACCAGCCAAGUAGCGUGCAGGAUGACGGCCCUAUGGGUUGUAAACUGCUUUUCCAGGGAGAGAAACUUGCGUACGCGUUGCGCAAUUGACGGUACCCUGGGAAUAAGCAUCGGCUAACUCCGUGCCAGCAGCCGCGGUAAUACGGAGGAUGCGAGCGUUAUCCGGAUUUAUUGGGUUUAAAGGGUGCGUAGGCGGAUUAAUAAGUCAGUGGUGAAAACCUGCAGCUUAACUGUAGAACUGCCAUUGAUACUGUUAGUCUUGAGUACGGUCAAGGUAGGCGGAAUGUGUAAUGUAGCGGUGAAAUGCUUAGAUAUUACACAGAACACCGAUUGCGAAGGCAGCUUACUGGGCCAUUACUGACGCUGAUGCACGAAAGCGUGGGGAGCGAACA